RNAcentral lists this ribosomal RNA (637 nucleotides) under uncultured bacterium. Its description in RNAcentral is "bacterial SSU rRNA". It matches the Rfam family "Bacterial small subunit ribosomal RNA", at positions 202 to 842 of the family's 1533-position model. The record is from RNAcentral.
UAAAGAUUCAUCGCUGAUAGAUAGGCAUGCGUUCCAUUAGGCAGUUGGCGGGGUAACGGCCCACCAAACCGACGAUGGAUAGGGGUUCUGAGAGGAAGGUCCCCCACAUUGGUACUGAGACACGGACCAAACUCCUACGGGAGGCAGCAGUGAGGAAUAUUGGUCAAUGGGCGUAAGCCUGAACCAGCCAAGUCGCGUGAGGGAUGAAGGUUCUAUGGAUCGUAAACCUCUUUUAUAAGGGAAUAAAGUGCGGGACGUGUCCCGUUUUGUAUGUACCUUAUGAAUAAGGAUCGGCUAACUCCGUGCCAGCAGCCGCGGUAAUACGGAGGAUCCGAGCGUUAUCCGGAUUUAUUGGGUUUAAAGGGUGCGUAGGCGGCCUUUUAAGUCAGCGGUGAAAGUCCGUGGCUCAACCAUAGAAUUGCCGUUGAAACUGGGAGGCUUGAGUAUGUUUGAGGCAGGCGGAAUGCGUGGUGUAGCGGUGAAAUGCUUAGAUAUCACGCAGAACCCCGAUUGCGAAGGCAGCCUGCCAAGCCAUGACUGACGCUGAUGCACGAAAGCGUGGGGAUCAAACAGGAUUAGAUACCCUGGUAGUCCACGCAGUAAACGAUGAUCACUAGCUGUUUGCGAUACACAGUAA